GAUGAAGAACGUAGCGAAAUGCGAUACGUAAUGUGAAUUGCAGAAUUCAGUGAAUCAUCGAAUCUUUGAACGCAUAUUGCGCUCUCUGGUAUUCCGGAGAGCAUGCUUGUUUGAGUAUCAGUAAACACCUCAACUCCCUUUUCUUUUUUGAAAUUGGAGCUGGACUUGAGUGAUCCCAACGCUUUCUUCCAAGAAAGUGGCGGGUUGCUUGAAAUGCAGGUGCAGCUGAACUUUUCUCUGAGCUAUAAGCAUAUCUAUUUAGUCUGCCUAAAAAACAGAAUAUUACCUUUGCUGCAGCUAACAUAAAGGAGACUAGUUCUUGUGCUGACUGAUGCAGGAUUCACAGAGACAGCUUCGGCUGACUUUGUAAACUCGAUCUCAAAUCAAGUAAGACUACCCGCUGAACUUAAGCAUAUCAAUAAGCGGAGGA
This 430-nucleotide unclassified non-coding RNA is filed under the name soil metagenome. Its description in RNAcentral is "partial contains 5.8S ribosomal RNA, internal transcribed spacer 2, and large subunit ribosomal RNA". The stretch from base 1 to 120 matches the Rfam family "5.8S ribosomal RNA", at positions 35 to 154 of the family's 154-position model. The record is from RNAcentral.